Molecule: non-coding RNA, 122 nt
Filed under: Chaetoceros curvisetus
Lineage: Eukaryota; Bacillariophyta; Thalassiosirophyceae; Chaetocerotales; Chaetocerotaceae
Source: RNAcentral
AUCGAAACAGAAAAAGAAAAAAGAAAAAAAAAGAAAAAGUAAGUAUACGUACCGACGUUCGAUGCCCUUUUCGUGAUUGAUUCUCUCUGUAUCCAUCAUCAUCUUCAUCUCACCUUUGUAUU